UAAAACUGCGCUGCUUGGAGGGCUGGGUGGGGUGUGUGCCAGAAGACACUGAUUCCUAAGGCAGCCACAGGGGGAGAUCCUCAGUCCUGCCAGGACCCAUCCAUCAGCUGGGAUGCUGCAACAUCAGCCCUGCCUGGGGGUGACAGCCUCCCCAACAUCCAUGGCUUCCCCAGAAGGAGAUGUGCUGUGGCCACCUUUCUCCCUCAGUGCCCCUCCCCGCUUUUCAGUCCUGUUGCUGUAAUAUGGCUGCUGCUCUGCGGAUUUCCAAGCCCCUCAGCAGCAGCUGCUGGAGGAAUAGAGACGCACAGCUAUCUGUUUUGGGAGGUCAUCAGUGAUGAGCAUGGGAUCGACCCCACUGGCAGUUACCAUGGAGACAGUGAUUUGCAGCUGGAGAGAAUCAAUGUGUACUACAAUGAAGCUGCUGGU
Long non-coding RNA from Hipposideros armiger (great roundleaf bat), 426 nucleotides. RefSeq lists it as uncharacterized. The transcript has 2 exons. Lineage: Eukaryota; Metazoa; Chordata; Mammalia; Chiroptera; Hipposideridae. The record is from RefSeq and is a predicted model, not a curated record.